CACUAUCAUAUUUGAAUUUUUCUUUGUUUUUUUUUUUAUCCAAUUUUUUAUUCUCUACAUCAUGUCACAGUGUGCAAUCAGUGAACAGAAUGAUAACUAACAAAUUGCCCUUCAUCAGUUCCCCAAUCAUCAGAAACAAAUUAUGAAGGAAAAAAGUGCAUAAUUUAAAUGUUGUGUAAAGCAUGUCAUUUGUGACAAAAGUCAAACUUAAUCUGUAGCUGUUAAAUUUCAUACCAGUACCUCUAAACAUAAUGUGUCUUUUAAAAAAAAGAAGCAGAAAAACAAGAUUUUUUUUUUUUUGUAAAGGGCUAUAACUCUUGUAAAACUGGGUCAACUUUGAAUGAUCAGAUUUGAUAUAUAGUUAUUCAUCAGAUAUUAAAUGGAGGAAAUGACAGUACUAAAUGUCAACACAACUGAUAAAAAAUCAAGGGCCUCAGAGUCGACUCGCCCGCGAUUUCCAACAUUGAACAAGGGGUGGGGUUAUACAGCACUGUCUUAUUAGCUAUUAUUCUGAAUCUUUAAAGCAUGGUAAAACAUGCUUAUUAUAUGCUUCACUAGAUAUCUAUGGAAAUGCAACGACACAAACUAGAAACACGACACAUCGGCUAGAGGAAUUUUAAAAUUGUGUGAACAUAAAAGUUCAAGAUCAAAGGUCACUAUCCAUAGUACCCAUCAAAAGCCUACCGCAAAAGACAAAACAGUAGCAGCCCAGCAGGUAUCGAUACAAAUUAUGCUCUUCAAGUCUUCAAACAUCUCGAGUCUACACUAAAUGAGGACACUUGCAUGCUGUUUUGAAAUAUUGUAGCCUUGACCUUCUGAGAAGAUUUUUAUAUGAGUUGUUCCACUUGAUAUUGUAUUCUUGUGUAAAUCAUCAGUCUCAUCAACAUCACAAAGAAACGGAAUAUCAGCUCUACCUACAGGUGCACAUGACAUCUGAACCACCCCAUCCAAUUUUUCUUUCUUUCUUCCAUUUCUAGAUCUAUAUUUUUUUUCACCUCAAAAGGAAGCUUGGUUCUUAAUUAAUAAUCAUCAAGAUUGAAUCCUGUUUUACCAAAGAUGCUUUGUGGCAAGUUUGGUUGAAAAUGGUCCAAAGGAUUUUCAGAGGAAGUUGAAAAUGUGAAAAGUAUCAUGCAAACAAUAAAUUGUCUGACUAUACCACAUGCGACUUGAACAUUACAUGGUGUCAGAAGUGGGAACCCUAACCCCGAACAGGAGAGAAGUUUCCAGAGACUCAAAGAAGCAUGUACCAAGCCACCAGUGUUAGCUCUAUUCAAUGUCAACAACCGGUUGAGAUCGAAUGUGAUUCGAGUAAAGACGGAUAUGGAGCUGUUUUGAUACAAGAAGGUCGUUCUGACAAUGGACCACAGUUCAGUUCCACUACCUUCAAGAAAUUCUGUUCAGACCACGGAAUCGAACACGAAAGAAGUAGUCUCCACUUCCAAAGCUCAAAUGGCGAGGCUGGGAGAGCAGUACAAACCACAAAGUGCUUAUGGAUGAAGUGUGAAGACAAGCAGCUUGCUCUCUUCGGCUACAGGACAACAUCACUGGAAAACAUCCGUCACCAGCUCAACUCUUAAUGGGACGCAGACCAAGAAACGCAUUACCAGCAUCACAAGAUCUGCUCAAGCCGACAACACACGACCUCACCAACAGGAAAACAACACUUAUAUACACAGAAAGCCAAACAGAAAUUUUACUAUGACCGGAGAAGAGGUGUCAAGGAGUUGUCCCCCCUAGAAAGUGGUGCGACAGUCUGAAUGAAAACACCCGGCUUGAAAUCCUUAUCCUCAGGAACCGUACAGAAAGCCGACAAACCAAGAUCUUAUUUGGUGAAGAGUAAUGAGAGACUUUACCAUAGAAACUGUGUACAUCUUCACAAAUCGGAUGAAACCUCUCAGGCUGAUCAUGACGUUCCUAUAGAAGAAAGCUGUUCAAGUGAGCCUACCAUAGAAAACACUGCAACCCCUCUAGUCAGUGCCAAUCCCGCCAACCACAAGGAUGCACUCCAGACCAGAUCUGGACGAGUCGUGAAACCUCCAGAGAAACUUGAAGUUUGAAGUGCUUGUAAAUAAUUCUGUUCGUGAUUUAGAAUAGUUUUAAUAUUAGUUGCAUGUUUAUUCAGCAGCGUGCACUGUGUUUGGGGCACAAUAAUCCCCGUGCAGCUGCCAGAACAUAAGUUCUGAGGGACAAGUUAAUGUUAUAAACAUAUAAUUCUCCAGACUUUUGCCAUGAACUGUUUAAAGUUAUAUUUCAUCCAAUUUUGCAAUUAAUAUCAGUAUGCCAAAUGACUAAAUCUAUCCAAAAUUAUAGUGAGGGGGAUGUAAUGUAUUUCUAUGUACGACUUAUCUAGUAAGGUAUGUUCCAGUUAUAUAUCUUGAUUGUAUUUACCGCCAAGUUGGUGUUUCUGAAUAAACCCGAGUUAACUAC
Molecule: long non-coding RNA, 2427 nt
Organism: Ostrea edulis (European flat oyster)
Lineage: Eukaryota; Metazoa; Mollusca; Bivalvia; Ostreida; Ostreidae
Exons: 2
Source: RefSeq, a predicted model, not a curated record